This 660-nucleotide ribosomal RNA is filed under the name uncultured bacterium. RNAcentral describes it as "bacterial SSU rRNA". It matches the Rfam family "Bacterial small subunit ribosomal RNA", at positions 78 to 733 of the family's 1533-position model. The record is from RNAcentral.
CUUCGGUAACUGAGCUAGCGGCGGACGGGUGAGUAAUGCUUAGGAAUCUGCCUAUUAGUGGGGGACAACAUUCCGAAAGGAAUGCUAAUACCGCAUACGCCCUACGGGGGAAAGCAGGGGAUCUUCGGACCUUGCGCUAAUAGAUGAGCCUAAGUCAGAUUAGCUAGUUGGUGGGGUAAAGGCCUACCAAGGCGACGAUCUGUAGCGGGUCUGAGAGGAUGAUCCGCCACACUGGGACUGAGACACGGCCCAGACUCCUACGGGAGGCAGCAGUGGGGAAUAUUGGACAAUGGGCGCAAGCCUGAUCCAGCCAUGCCGCGUGUGUGAAGAAGGCCUUUUGGUUGUAAAGCACUUUAAGCGAGGAGGAGGCUACUUGGAUUAAUACUCUAGGAUAGUGGACGUUACUCGCAGAAUAAGCACCGGCUAACUCUGUGCCAGCAGCCGCGGUAAUACAGAGGGUGCGAGCGUUAAUCGGAUUUACUGGGCGUAAAGCGUGCGUAGGCGGCUUCUUAAGUCGGAUGUGAAAUCCCUGAGCUUAACUUAGGAAUUGCAUUCGAUACUGGGAAGCUAGAGUAUGGGAGAGGAUGGUAGAAUUCCAGGUGUAGCGGUGAAAUGCGUAGAGAUCUGGAGGAAUACCGAUGGCGAAGGCAGCCAUCUGGC